RNAcentral lists this long non-coding RNA (759 nucleotides) under Bos indicus x Bos taurus (hybrid cattle). RNAcentral describes it as "lncRNA (ENSBIXG00005026690.1)". The record is from RNAcentral. Lineage: Eukaryota; Metazoa; Chordata; Mammalia; Artiodactyla; Bovidae.
UUAAAUUUAUACAUAGAGUGUCUAGCGUAUUUGGAGUGUUUUUUUUUUUUUUUUUUCUUAAAGGAUUUUCUUUGUGUUUUGCAGAACUAUUGGUAAUAUAUUUUGGACACUGUGGAUGGACUAAAGUGAAAAUAGAAUAAGGAAGAGGCAGAAACACUUUCGUGACUUCCAUGGCCCUGAAGAAGUUCAUGACCAUGCAUCAUUUGUAUUCAGUCAUGGGGAUGAGUUCUCCAUCGGUUGGUAAACCAAGGACUCUGGCAUUGUUGAUCACAGCCCACAGUCCUGUGAUCAGCACUGCCUUUUGGUCCACAGGUAACAAUUCUUGGCUAGAAAAUUUCUUAGGAUUGAGUGGGGAAAAGGAACAAGGAUGGGAUCUUGGCAGUGCAUCAAAGUGGCCAAGAAGAAUGAUCCCUUUUUGGCUUCAGAGUCUCUGAUCAAGCAUAUCCCAUGAAUCCUGGGUCCAGACUUUAAAAAGGUGGCAAAUUGCCUUCCUUGCUGACCCAUAAUGAGAAUAUGGCAGCCAAAGGUGAUGAAGUCAAGUCCACCUUCAAGUUCCAGAUGAAGAAGAUGCCAUGUCUGGCAGCGCCUGUUGGCCACAUGGUGAUGACAGAUGAUGAGCUUGUGUACAACGUCCACUUAGCUGUCAACUUCCUGGUGUCCUUGCUCAAGAGAAAUUGGCAGAAUGUUUGGGCUUUGUACAUUAAGAGUGCCAUGGGCAAGCGCCUGUACAUGGCACAGCUUAAUAAACCAUACUGCCAU